CCAAUACAGGGAGGCAGCAGGCGCGCAAUUACCCAAUCCUGACUCAGGGAGGUAGUGACAAGAAAUAACAAUAAACCGGCUUAUGCCGGUUUAAUUGGAAUGAGUACAAUUUAAACAUCUUAACGAGGAACAAUUGGAGGGCAAGUCUGGUGCCAGCAGCCGCGGUAAUUCCAGCUCCAAUAGCGUAUACUAAAGUUGUUGCAGUUAAAAAGCUCGUAGUUGGAUUUCUGUGGGGACGGAGCGGCCGGCCGCACAUCGCGGUUCGAGCUAGCGCUUUCCCUACAUCCUGCCGCGAACCGUGCUACCAUUAGUUUGGUGGCGCCGGGGAUCGGCUCGAUUACUUUGAGAAAAAUAGAGUGUUCAAAGCAGGCCACAUGCCUUGAAUAAGUUAGCAUGGAAUAAUAACUAAGGACUUCGGUUCUAUUUUGUUGGUGUUCGGGACUGAAGUAAUGAUUGAUAGGGACAGUUGGGGCGGUCUGUAUUCCAAAGCGAGAGGUGAAAUUCUUAGACCUUCGGAAGACAAACAGCUGCGAAAGCGUUCCGCAAGGAUGUUCCCUUUGAUCAAGAACGAAAGUUGGGGGAUCGAAGACGAUCAGAUACCGUCGUAGUCUCAACUAUAAACUAUACCAGCUAGGGAUCGGCCAACGUUAUUUUAUACCGACUUGGUCGGCACCUUAUGAGAAAUCAAAGCAUCUGGGUUCCGGGGGGAGUAUGGUCGCAAGGCUGAAACUUAAAGGAAUUGACGGAAGGGCACCACCAGCCGUGGAGCCUGUGGCUUAAUUUGACUCAACACGGGAAAACUUACCAGGUCCAGACAUAGUAAGGAUUGACAGAUUGAUAGCUCUUUCUUGAUUCUGUGGGUGGUGGUGCAUGGCCGUUCUUAGUUGGUGGAGUGAUUUGUCUGGUUAAUUCCGUUAACGAACGAGACCCCAGCCUGCUAAAUAGCGCGCGUGAGCUUUGCUCGCGGCGAGCUUCUUAGAGGGACUAUGAUGCGCGAUAGCACAUGGAAGUUUGGGGCAAUAACAGGUCUGUGAUGCCCUUAGAUGUUCUGGGCCGCACACGGGCUACACUGGCGCCUGCAACGAGCAUAUCAGCUGGCCCGAGAGGGUCUUGGCUAAUCUUUUGAACCGGCGCCGUGCUUGGGAUUGACCUUUGCAAUUGUUGGUCAUGCAACGAGGAAUGCCUUGUAAACGCGAGUCAUCAGCUCGCAUUGAAUACGUCCCUGCCCUUUGUACACACCGCCCGUCGCUCCUACCGAUGAAUGUUCCGAUGAAAUUUUCGGAGAGCACCUGUGAACUUGGCUCCGCCUUGCGAACGGGAGGCUCAAAGUCACUAAAUCUGAACAUUGAA
Molecule: ribosomal RNA, 1350 nt
Filed under: uncultured marine eukaryote
Lineage: Eukaryota
Description: SSU rRNA
Rfam family: Eukaryotic small subunit ribosomal RNA
Source: RNAcentral